UGUUAAAUUCAUGGUACAAAACCUGCAAGUCCAAUCUAAGUAUGUAACCCCAACACACAGCCGUGGGAGGGGGGAGAGAGAGAGAGAGAACCAAUGUAAUAAUAUCCUAUGGAUGAUGAUGUGACAGAAAACAAUGGAAAAAUUUACAUGGAAAUUCAAAGUGUUAGAUUUUCUCACGAAUAACUGUAAUAGUCGAAGCAGAGUGUAUUGAGCGCAAAAACAACAAAAUAUGAUUGUUUAUAUGUUUACCUUAAUUGUAAGAGUUCCUCUA
Molecule: unclassified non-coding RNA, 271 nt
Filed under: Hevea brasiliensis (rubber tree)
Lineage: Eukaryota; Viridiplantae; Streptophyta; Magnoliopsida; Malpighiales; Euphorbiaceae
Source: RNAcentral